This 253-nucleotide ribosomal RNA is filed under the name uncultured bacterium. RNAcentral describes it as "partial 16S ribosomal RNA". It matches the Rfam family "Bacterial small subunit ribosomal RNA", at positions 524 to 776 of the family's 1533-position model. The record is from RNAcentral.
UACGAAGGGGGCUAGCGUUGCUCGGAAUUACUGGGCGUAAAGGGUGCGUAGGCGGGUCUGUAAGUCAGGGGUGAAAUCCUGGAGCUCAACUCCAGAACUGCCUUUGAUACUGCGGAUCUUGAGUUCGGGAGAGGUGAGUGGAACUGCGAGUGUAGAGGUGAAAUUCGUAGAUAUUCGCAAGAACACCAGUGGCGAAGGCGGCGCACUGGCCCGAUACUGACGCUGAGGCACGAAAGCGUGGGGAGCAAACAGG